RNAcentral lists this ribosomal RNA (503 nucleotides) under Pellifronia jungi. RNAcentral describes it as "partial 16S ribosomal RNA". It matches the Rfam family "Bacterial large subunit ribosomal RNA", at positions 1831 to 2598 of the family's 2925-position model. The record is from RNAcentral. Lineage: Eukaryota; Metazoa; Mollusca; Gastropoda; Neogastropoda; Terebridae.
UUGUAAUAUAAAGAUGGGGAGUCGGACCUGCCCGGUGAAAUUUUUUUAACGGCCGCGGUACUCUGACCGUGCAAAGGUAGCAUAAUCAUUUGCCUUAUAAUUGAAGGCUGGUAUGAAUGGUUUGACAAGAAUAUAGCUGUCUCUUUACAAUUUAAUAGAAUUUUAUAUCUAGGUGAAAAAGCCUUAAUAUAAUUAAAAGACAAGAAGACCCUAUCGAGCUUUAGAAAACUUAACAGGAGAAAAUUAAUAAUAUAAAAAAUAUAACUGUUAAAUAUUUUGGUUGGGGCGACUAAGGAACAUAAAAAGCUUCCUUUAGAUUUAAAGACGUACGAGUAUUGAUCCAAAAUUUGUGAUUGAAGGAAUUAGUUACCGUAGGGAUAACAGCAUUAUCUUUUUUGAGAGCUCUUAUCGAAAAAAGAGGUUUGUGACCUCGAUGUUGGACCAGAAUAUCCUAAAGAUGUAGAAGUCUUUAAGGGUUGGUCUGUUCGACCAUUAAAAUUCUA